This 253-nucleotide ribosomal RNA is filed under the name uncultured bacterium. Its description in RNAcentral is "partial 16S ribosomal RNA". It matches the Rfam family "Bacterial small subunit ribosomal RNA", at positions 524 to 776 of the family's 1533-position model. The record is from RNAcentral.
UACGUAGGCAGCAAGCGUUGUUCGGAUUUACUGGGUUUAAAGGGUGCGUAGGUGGGUUGGGAAGUCAGUGGUGAAAUACUUUCGCUUAACGAAGGAACUGCCAUUGAUACUAUCAAUCUUGAAUGUAGUGGAGGUAGGCGGAAUGCGUCAUGUAGCGGUGAAAUGCUUAGAUAUGACGCAGAACACCAAUUGCGAAGGCAGCUUGCUACACUACUAUUGACACUGAGGCACGAAAGCGUGGGGAUCAAACAGG